UUAAAAGGAAAAAGAACUAAAAAAUGAAAAAAGCUCUUCUUCUUCAUGAAGAUUGAACAAAAUGCAGAACCCUAGUCUUCUUCUUCAUGGCAACAACGGAAACCUGAAGAUCAGGCCUGAACCAAAAACGACCCAUCCCCACCAUCUUCUUCAGUGAGCAAAAACGCCUAAGUCUAGGAAUCAGACGCAAUAACACAAAAAAUCAGGUCCCCCACAUUGAUCUUCUUCUGCUCGAAUAUAAACAACCAUUUUAAACUUUCCUAUACAAAAAAGAAUAGCCAUAUUCGAUGAGUUGUUCCAUCGGUUUUUUUAUCAAAAAAAGCUUCUUCUUCUUGCUGGAAAACGCAGCAACAUAACCAUGAAAUACAAUCUAGAAAACCCAUCUAAACAAGUAGAGUUCGAGUCAGGAUAGUCGAGCCGAGCAACAAAACUCUGUCGAAAUCCGGUGGAGCUUCUCGUGGAGGUUCUGUUCGAGGUCUCUGAUCGAUGGCUCGAUUUUGGACUUUUGGUUCGAAAUUUUUCUUUUAGUUCAUUUCAUUGUCAAUCCCGUCAGUUUGAGGUUAAUUUCCUCCCCUUUCUUUUUUUGUGUUCUUACGUUUUUGUAUCUAGUCACACCAGUUGGUUUUGAUGGAUUUAAUGCAACUUUACAUCUUGGCCUUACAUGAUUAAUAUGUGAUUGGACCUAGUAUUUUCCUGAAGGAAGACAUAUAGUUAGUAAUUCUUAUUGUAGGAUUUGCUAAGUAAAAGAUGUUGGGGAAGCAGUGGUUUGGGGCUAGAAAAUGAAAUCUAAGUUUCAGAUUAUUAUUUUUCGUAAUAGGAUUUUCUUUAGUUGAGCUAUAGUUUAAAUUGAUAUUUUUAUCUCAAUGUUAGGAGCAUGUUAGGCCGACCAUACCUGGGUAGGCGAACCUUUAGGCAUGUAAUUAAAUCAUCACAACAACGGGUAUGCUUCCCAUGGCGUGGUUGUGAUACUUAAUUUCAAAUUAGUUGUAAAAAUGAAUAUCCGUAGUUCACUUAGUUGAAUGCCUUUACUUUAAUAAAAUCUAGGUGCGCCAUACGCAAACAAAAUCCAUAAUCUAUGUCCCUCAUAUUAAUUAUCUUAACUAGUGUAAAAAAUGCCUUGAACUUUCGGAGUUUGAUUUAGGCGCGUUAAUUAAAUAAUUGUCAUGGCUACGGGUACGACUCUCGUGACAUAGUUGUGAUGCUUAAUUUCUAAAAUCCUAGGGUACAUUUAUGUGACCCAACAACAAUUUAAUUUUGUUAAUAAAACAAACAUGUUGUAGAUCGUGGGUGCGGUUCCCGUGACAUGAUUCGCUAUGUAUAGUCAAAUAAUUAGUUGAUGUGACGACCUGUCCAGUCGUCUUAAGAAUUAACGCCCUGAUCCCCUAUUAACUACUUUCCCCAAGUUUAUUUAUGUUAUUUCUAUUUGUCGGGAUGUCCAGUUUUGAGUUUCGGAGAGUUUUGGGACACUUAGUCCCUAAAUGAGAGCUAAAGUGUUGGAAAGUUGAACGUAGUUGGAACAGUGUGAAGACGGCCUCGGAAUUGAAAUACAAUGGUUUUGUUAGCUCCGUUGGGUGAUUUCGGGGUUAGGAGCUUGUUUGAAGUGUGUCUUGGAGGUCCGUAGCUAAUUUAGGCUUGAAAUGCCGGAAGUUGAGUUUUUGAAGUUUGUGGUUCGAUAGUGAGAUUCUAAUUCAAGGAUCGGAAUGGAAUUACGAGAGUUGUAGUAGUUCCGUCAUGUCAUUUGGGAUAUGUAUACAAAAUUUCAGUUCAUUCGGACGAGGUUUGGUAGACUUUUUGAUCGAAAGUGUGUUUUACAGUUUUUGGAAAUUUUAAGCUUGAAUCCGAUGAAAAAUAAGUGUUUUGAUGUCGUUUUGAGCAUUUCGAAGGUUGGAACAAAUUUGGAUGUGGUUUUAGGAUUGGUUGGCAGGUUGGGUUGAGGUCCCGGGGGCCUCGGGUGUGUUUCGGAUGCUCAACGGGUCAUUUUUGAAACUUAGGAAAUUGCAGAAAAAAUUGCAACAGUCAGUUCUGGUUUCCUUCUUCGCGUUCACGAGUGGGUUCUCGUGUUCUCGAAGUGGAGCUUGGAUUAGGGGAAAAUUUGGCCUUCGCAUUCGCGAUAGGGCCUUCGCGUUCGCAAAGAACUGGAUGGUUGUGCUAUGCAUUCGCGAUUGGGCUUAGCGUUCGUUGAAGAGGAAUUGGCCCAAAGGAGUUUUGUGUAUCGCAUUCGCGUGAUGCCCGUCGCGUUUGCGAAGGUUCGUCUGUGCAAGGCAUCACGUUCGCGAAGUAAAGGACGCGUUCGCGAAUAAGGAAAAAUGGUCAAAGUUAUUUUGUGCUUCGCGAAUGCGAGGCUUUGACCGCGUUCGCGAAGAAGGAAUUUUCUGGGCAGAUAUAAGAUUUCAAAAUCGAUGGUUUGGCCAUAUUUAUCAAAACUUAAGCAUGGGAGCUCGGAUUUUGAGCGAAAUUUUGAGGGAUUUUCAGAGGUAUCGAUUGGGUAACGAUUCUUAUCUCAUUUUUGCUUGUAACCCAUUAAUCUAAACAUGAAUUCAUCCUUUAAUUUCGGAAUUUGUAUGAAAAUUGGGGAAAAAAGUUCUUAGGCCAAGAAAUUGAGUUUUGAUUGGGGAUUUGACAUCGGAUUUAAAUAAUUUUUGUAUGAUUAGACUCGUGAGAGUGUGAGUAUUAUGAAACUAUAAAUUUUAUCCAAUUCCGAGACGCUGGUCCGAGGGGCGUUUUGGUCCUUUUACAUAAUUUCGCAUAUUAGCUUAGAAUUUAAUUAUAGAAUCAGUUACUUGAAGUGUUAUUUACAUUAUUCAAUUGAAUUGAAUAGAUUUGGGCCAUUUGGAGUCGAGUACUCGUGGCAAAGAUGUGGUGUUGGGUUGAUUUUGAGCCGGUUCGAGGUAAAUGGCUUGUCUAACCUUGUGUGGGGGACCUUCCCCAUAGGAUUGGUAUAUUUGGUAAUUUAAAUGCCUUGUACGUGAGGUGACGAGUGAGUACUUGUGCUAAUUGUUGGAAACCCGAUUUUCUUUAAGUACUUACUAGUAUGUUUUCUUUCCUGUUUCUAUUACUUGCAUUAUUAAGCAUGUUGUUAGCUUAGGAAAGCAUGUCUAAGUGACUUAAUUGCUUCAUUUGAUUUAACCUGCCUUACUUGAAUUAUGUGCAGCAUGUUAGGCUAGAAUCACUUAUUGCCUUAAUAUGAAUUUUGCUAUUUAUGUUUAUCUUCCUACUGCUGCUGUGUAUUUAUUUUGGGACUACGGAUGUGGAAUUCCGGUAGCUCCACCUUGUCUAUUUACUUUGGGACUACGCGUUAGAUUCCCGGUAGAUCCCCCUGCACAUUUACUUUGGGACUAUGGGUUAGAUUCCCGGUAGAUCCCCCUGCAUAGUUAUAUAGAACUACGGGAAUGCACCCGGUAGAUUCCCCCAGUACUGGGUAUUUACAUUUGGGAUUACAGAUUGUGAUUCCGGUAGAUCCCCAUGCAUCGAUAGUUGGACUACGGGACAGGAUCCCGGGAGAUCCUUCGGACAUAUAUAUGAUGGACUACGGGACGGUAUCCCGGGAGAUCUACUGGACAGUUGUAAUUGGGACUACAGGACGGUAUCCUAGAAGGUGCCCCGAUUGUUAUCUCUGUAUCGAGCUGUAUUUUUUUCUGUGGCUUGUUUUGUCUCUGUUCUAUUUGUUGUUCUGUCAAUUCUAUGUUAUUUCUUACUGUUGCACUUAUUUAUACUGUUUUAUUCCACAUUGUUAACCCUUAUAUUGUAUUUAACCUCAGUAGGGCCAUGACCUUCCUCGUCACUACCCAACCAAGGUUAGGCUUGGUACUUACUAAGUACAAAUGUCGUG
This 3829-nucleotide long non-coding RNA is filed under the name Nicotiana tabacum (common tobacco). RNAcentral's name for it is "long non-coding RNA (NTAB_LNC003469)". Lineage: Eukaryota; Viridiplantae; Streptophyta; Magnoliopsida; Solanales; Solanaceae. The record is from RNAcentral.